RNAcentral lists this ribosomal RNA (464 nucleotides) under Vreelandella stevensii. RNAcentral describes it as "partial 16S ribosomal RNA". It matches the Rfam family "Bacterial small subunit ribosomal RNA", at positions 338 to 795 of the family's 1533-position model. The record is from RNAcentral. Lineage: Bacteria; Pseudomonadati; Pseudomonadota; Gammaproteobacteria; Oceanospirillales; Halomonadaceae.
CCUACGGGGGCUGCAGUGGGGAAUAUUGGACAAUGGGGGCAACCCUGAUCCAGCCAUGCCGCGUGUGUGAAGAAGGCCCUCGGGUUGUAAAGCACUUUCAGUGAGGAAGAACGCCUGGUGGUUAAUACCCAUCAGGAAAGACAUCACUCACAGAAGAAGCACCGACUAACUCCGUGCCAGCAGCCGCGGUAAUACGGAGGGUGCGAGCGUUAAUCGGAAUUACUGGGCGUAAAGCGCGCGUAGGUGGCUUGAUAAGCCGGUUGUGAAAGCCCCGGGCUCAACCUGGGAACGGCAUCCGGAACUGUCAAGCUAGAGUGCAGGAGAGGAAGGUAGAAUUCCCGGUGUAGCGGUGAAAUGCGUAGAGAUCGGGAGGAAUACCAGUGGCGAAGGCGGCCUUCUGGACUGACACUGACACUGAGGUGCGAAAGCGUGGGUAGCAAACAGGAUUAGAUACCCCGGUAGUC